Molecule: small nucleolar RNA, 124 nt
Filed under: Monopterus albus (swamp eel)
Lineage: Eukaryota; Metazoa; Chordata; Actinopteri; Synbranchiformes; Synbranchidae
Description: Small nucleolar RNA SNORD22 (ENSMALG00000018725.1)
Rfam family: Small nucleolar RNA SNORD22
About the family: U22 is a member of the C/D class of snoRNA which contain the C (UGAUGA) and D (CUGA) box motifs. U22 is encoded within the U22 snoRNA host gene (UHG) in mammals and has also been identified in Xenopus.
Source: RNAcentral
CCUUCAUGAUGAUGUCUGCACACGUCUUACGCCUUGUUAAUGCCAGACCUGAAAAGGUGAACCCACUGGCCUUACCAUGGCAAUAAGGGGAUGAUGUGUUGGGGUUACCAACAGUCUGAAAGGA